Portunus trituberculatus (swimming crab) is the source of this 3131-nucleotide long non-coding RNA. RefSeq lists it as uncharacterized. The record is from RefSeq and is a predicted model, not a curated record. NCBI's taxonomy places the organism in Eukaryota, Metazoa, Arthropoda, Malacostraca, Decapoda, Portunidae. The transcript is spliced from 2 exons.
GCCCCUGCCUGAGCGAUGCGGGCAGCUAGCGGGCGAUCGUUAUAGCACCGAUACCCCGCCCCCCGGCCCCGCCCCGCGCCCCGCUCUGUCUCACCGCACCGCCUGUUCGUACGCAGUUCAGGUAAAUGAAUUACCUCCAAUAAAGUGGGAAUGAUUCCGUUAGCGAAAAGCGGCAUCGAGGCCACCGCUGCCGCCGCCACCGAAUGUUUGUGCAGCGGUUUGGCGCCAAAAGUCGCAGUGCCGCGCCUCACUUCCGCUUUGCCCGCUGGCCAGAGGUCGCGUGACUGGGGAAGGAGCGACACACACACACACACACACACACACACACACACACACACACACACACACACACACACACACACACACACACACGUUAAAUGUAACCAGGUAAUGCGGUGUCUGCCUAUGCCUAUUCUCCUCCUUCCCUUCCCCCCUCCCUCCCUCCCUCCCUCUCACCCACCCUCCUGUACCUUCCUCCCUCCUCUCCUGUCGGGAUCGUGGAAUCAGUAGUUCACGUGUCCCGGCCUCGGCACCACUUGGGUGUCGGAGGGAGGGACGGAGGGAGGUAGGGGGAGGCAGGAGGUGAGGGAUGGAGGGAGGGAGACAGUACAGACUUUGGCAAGGCAUCACGCGGCGGGCACUGGAUCAUGUGAGGCAGACACCUCCAGCAGGCGGUGCUUGGGAUUGCCAGCCAGGGAGUGAGACGCGACACAACGGAACACUUGGAAGGGAAUGGAGACGAGGUUCAGACAAUUGGUUCUUCGCGAAUGACUGGCCUACAUAUUUCCAUCCCAACUACAGAUUGCCUUUCGCUUUGUCUCAGCUGGCCACGACAACAAUCACAACUUGGUGUUAGAGAACAGAGUAUACACAGUUAUCAUUUCUUUUAGCUUUAGUCCUUUCAUAGCUUGGUUGUUUUUUUCUUAUUAUCACCAACAAGAAUAAUUUUCUACCUUAAAAAAAAGGCUGAAAAUAGACAAUAAACAGUGAUAUACUGCAGCCUUGAAUAUUUUUAUACCCUAGAAAAGAUUAAAUAGACUAUUGACGAUAAGGUACUACUGUCUUAGAUAGUCUUAUCCUAUGAGCAAGAUUAGAUUAACAUUUUAUUCUUUCCUUCCUUACAUUUAUCCAUGCAAAGAAGCACAACCAUAGCAAUAAAUCACUACAUCAGAGGAGAGAUUAUUGGAAACAGGAAAUAUCUUUGAAAAUCUGACUUGAGGGGACGCUUCGUGAUUGGCUGCGAUAGGUUACAAGUCAGCCAAUGGGAGAACAGCAGUCGGCCUCCUUGAGAUGACACCCCUUGCCAACACAUGAGAUAAGAGUGAAGGAUGAAGUAAUAAUAGUCACUCUGCUGAUCACAUCACUAAUACGAGACGGACACUUAUAUUACCGCGCUGUAGAAGUGUGUGUGUGUGUGUGUGUGUGUGUGUGUGUGUGUGUGUGUGUGUGUGUGUGUGUGAAAUGUUGUCAUCAGUAAACUUAGCAGGUUGAUGAAAAAAAAUGGAAUAUAAAUAAACAUAAGAAAGAAAUCAAAGACGUGUACUAGAAUUAGAAAAACGGCAAUAAUAAAAUAAUCUGCUUUAAAUAUUUUUCACUACAUCCACAAAAAUACUGUACUAGAUCAACAAUAUGAGGAGACUACUACGUAAAUAAAUUUCAUCCCGAGUUAUAGAGGAGGAUUUAUAACAAGAAGUCUCAGAAGGACGAAGACGUAUUUGUAUCAAUCUUUUUUUUUUCUUUUUUUUUCGCAGGGAAGAGGGCCAGCCAAGGGCAAAAGAAAAGGAAAGAUUAAAAAUAAAGGCCCACUUGAGUGUUGCCUCAUAGAAUUAACUUUGGGGGCAUAUUCUCAAGAUUGGUGGUCUCAUCUGUCACUUGUAUUGGGUGCUGCUUGAAGUUGCUGGUUUUCAAGGGUGUUUACAUCAUUAUUGUGGCAGUUCUACAAAUUUUCUACGCGCCUUUCAGAUUAUGGUAAAAAUUAUUAGUUUGUAGUUUUCCGUUAUUCUAUUGAUAGCUUAACAAGAAUUCCUUACUUCAAUGCUGAGAUUUUACCUUUCUUUCACAUUAUGGUGGAAAUUAUUAUUUUUCAAGAGUGUUUUCCUUGAUUCUCUUAAUAUAGUUUGACAAGAAUUCUUUAUUUCUAUGCAAAGAUUUUACCUUUUCUCUCACAUUAUAGUGGAAAUGACUAGUUUUCAAAGGUGUUUUCCGUGGUUUUCUUAAUAGUUUAACAAGAAUUCCGUACUUCUGUGCAAAGAUUCUACGUUGGUGAGAAUGUUGGAGUUUUCAAGAGUGUUUCCAUGAUUCUGUUAAUAGUUUGACAAGGAUUCCACACUUCUCGCAGGUUCUAAUGGAUGGUAUUUGAUUUCUCAAGUUUGAUUUUAUGAUUCCAUUAAUAGUAUAACAAGAAUUUAUACGGCUGUACGACUAUAAUGGAAGUGGCUGGUUUGCAAGGGCGUUUUCAUGACUUCAGGGAUAGUUUUAGUAAAGAUCAUACCCUUCGUUCAGGCUGUAUUGGGAAUUAUUGUAUUUUUUCAUGCGUGUUUUCAUUGUUCUAUGGACAGAUCAACGAGAAUAGUGAAAGUUAGUGGAAAUUAUUAGUUUUCAUGGUUGUUUCCAAUAAUUUUCUACCAUCAAUGCGAAAAACACUCGAAAGAACUUGACUGAUCAUCCCUGUGGCCUCUGAAAAUGAUCCCGAUAAGAGAAUGAACGCCUCGGAACACAAGCCGUGGUGCUGCGAGGCGAGGCGUGGGAAGGAACUCUGUCACCUGCUCUACUGUUUCCCACCGCUCUCAGUCCCCACUCCUAUGACGCGCCGGAGAGCAAGUGACGUGCAGUGGUCAGAAGAGAGGAGUUUGUGUGCACGCGGUGAUGUUGGCGUGGCUGCUGUACUGGAAAACUAAACUCAGAAACAACAUCUCUAAGAAUAAUAGAUAGAGGAAACUAGAAGGAAGGAAAAUGACUGAAAAAAAAUAUGUUAUGAAUGAAAAGCAUAAACGUGAGAUACAUUUAGUCUGCAACGAAGAAAAAAAAAGAUGUAUGAAUAUUAGAACACUAUUAAAUUGACACUUGGACUGGAACUAUAAAAGAUAAAUGAAAAGGCUAAAGAAAACGAAAAAGAGAAAAGAAUCAGCAAA